CCGGAAGUCGCGCGCGGCCGCCAUCUUACUGUGACCACCUUGAGGAGUGAGCUAUUGUGAUUAAUACGGUAUUUUCCACUGUUUUGUUCUGUUAUCUCGCAAUAGAGGAACAAAUCAAGUCAAAUAUGGUAUUUUAACCAAAAGCACAUGUUCAAGAAUGUUGGGGACCUCUUUUACAUCCAAAUAACUCAAUCGUAAAGAAAUGUGUCUAUAUUUUUGACGACGUUUCUGAGUGCGACUGAGAUGAAUCAUGAAUUUAGUCGUGACAACACCUUUCAAAUGGGAAUUUCUGAUAGAGAUCGGUGAAUUAUACCAUAAGUUAACACAUGAGAAAUUGGUCAUGAACUUUAUUGUUUUGGAAAUGGUGAAUUUUAUAGGGACAAGACUCAUAUUUGUUUCUAUCGACCUAAUCAACGCAAACAAAUUAUGUCGCUUGUGGGAUUUGUUAAAGGAACAAAUGAUUCAGGAUGGUAGAAAGAAUAGCAGGUGCGUUGUAGCACAGUUAACUGUGGUUGUAGUGAUCUUAUUUAUGUUAAUGGUGGGUGCUUAAACGCAAUGCCUUGUGAGAAUAUAUCCCAUCCCAUCCCAUCCCUGCUUGUGUAAUAUGUUCCUUAUUAUUAAUUAAAGUCAUAGUCAUGAUUAAUUAUCACUCUUCUGAGAAGACCUCAAUGGUGUUUUAUUCCAAAGAAGCAGAUUAAAAUUAAUAAAUUUGAAAGAAAUUGAAAGUUGUAAAAUAAUGGUAUCUCAUUUCUGUGCUUUUUAGAUCCUAUAGAGACAGUAUAAAGUGAAGAUGGAAAAAUGCUGCAAACAGUUACUUCAGUUGCAUGUCUAUAUAUGCAUUAUAUUGCAUUGUGUAAAAACAAUUUAAUUGUAAAGGGUCUCUAGUAUUAUAGGAUCUGUGUGAAAUUCCAGUAGUUUGUUGCUAAAUACUCAUUUAGUGUCUUUUGCCAAAUAAAGUUUAACUGCCUUGUAUGAGGUAAAAAUGGUUGUAACAAAAAUGCAGGUUGAAAUCAAGCCUUCAAAAGCAUUACACCCACAUUAAUAUUUGCU
Non-coding RNA from Paramuricea clavata, 1050 nucleotides. The record is from the annotation of a GenBank genome assembly. NCBI's taxonomy places the organism in Eukaryota, Metazoa, Cnidaria, Anthozoa, Malacalcyonacea, Plexauridae.